GGCUGGGGAGGCUGAGAGAGCACAGCUGGAGGGAGGGCUCUGCUCUGCUGCCCCGCUCGCUUAACUGUCGGUGAGCCGAGCCGUGGGAAGACUGCCUGCCCGGCCUCCGCCAGGCCCCGGAGACGGACCCAACGGGGCUGCCUUCCUCCGGGAGGGCCCUCAGCACAGCGUACCCCGCUAAGCGCUGCUCUGCGCCACGGGUCAGCCGCGGAGACCCUGGGGCUGCGUGGGAGCUGCGAGGCUCCAGGCCUGCCCGGCUCUAGGUGAUUCUCAACCAGUCCAUCCCAUAAAACAUGGACUUUCCAUCAGUUAUGCCUCCUGCCUGAAACAUCCACCAGCUCACCUUUUCUGAUCAUGACUGGCAGCCUUGCUUGGUAACAGGUGGCAAUCUCUUCAAACCUACUCAUCAUGUGCCUCUUCACUGACCUAUUCCACUUCCUGAAGGCUGGAUACCUAGGCUUCUCCACAAGGGAAAGGGUAGAGACAAGACUGGGAAGAAAACUUGCUUCUGAGAUGCUCCGAUUUUCUGCCAGGCCUGAGGAUGGCCAUGACCUGGCCAUUGAGCCCUGAACACAGAAAUCCUGUCCCCAGUGAGCCUAACGAGCUACAGGGAAGAGAAUGACCCACAGUAUUUCUCAGAAAUAGAGGGAGCCAAAUACACAGGAAUGUAUGACCCCGAGACUCAUACAUAAGACAAAGGGACAAAGUCACCCACCCACCCCUCCCUGCUAGUUAGAGCUCCUCUAGUACUCCCAAGUGAUUAUGUUGCAAAAUUAUCCCUCUUAGUUCUGCUCAACUGUUUCCUCAGAGUCCAAAUUUCAG
This is a long non-coding RNA of Sarcophilus harrisii (Tasmanian devil), 822 nucleotides long. RefSeq lists it as uncharacterized. The record is from RefSeq and is a predicted model, not a curated record. The transcript has 3 exons. NCBI's taxonomy places the organism in Eukaryota, Metazoa, Chordata, Mammalia, Dasyuromorphia, Dasyuridae.